Molecule: long non-coding RNA, 2172 nt
Organism: Rhopalosiphum padi (bird cherry-oat aphid)
Lineage: Eukaryota; Metazoa; Arthropoda; Insecta; Hemiptera; Aphididae
Exons: 3
Source: RefSeq, a predicted model, not a curated record
UUUGGUGCCGAAAUGCCCGAAGUCGUCUGUUCUUAUAGCGGCUUCCAGAACAACUCUACUUAAAAAGGCCUCAAAGGUCUUUAAAGAUUAUUAUUGAAUAAUCAACAUAAAUCUCGGCUCCAGUCGACUACACACUACAACACGCUGCUCGAUGCUCGUCGUACUGUAGCAGUCGUCAAUGGUUGUUACUCCGAUUUCAACACAAAUCUAGUUUCCCGAGUUCCGUCUUGCUGAUGUACAACAGCGAUCGUCAUACAAGAAUACAACUUGGACUGAUUAAAUAAUGAUUUAGUAACAAACAGCAUUGUGGAUUGUGGAGUUUUUGACAUGCAGAUGCUACACAUUACUGCAGAACCUGAAAACUAGUUGAUUGAAAAUAUACUUUUGUUAAAAAACACGUAUAUACUAAGUGAUGUUUCAAAACAAUCUACCAACUGUCAGUGAACUACUAGAAUUACAGGAUUGUUGAAUAGUCCCAAGAAAACGAUGCUGCUUAUUCUAUUAGAUAAGUAUACUAAUAUUCAAAUCCAUUAUUUUUUCAUGAUAUUUUUAUAGAUACGUAAUUCUUUAGGGAAUAUGAAUAAUUUGUACAAUAUUAAUAAAAAUACUUAAAAUAAUAAUUAUUAUAGUUAAAAAAUAUAAAAAUAUCCAUAUUUUUAUUAUUUUUUCAUCGAGAAUAUAAUAGGCCGUGCUAAACACGUCCACACAGGGACAGGCUCAAAUGUAAAAUAUAUAAUUAAUAUUACAAGUAUCCUUUGUUUUAUGAAUAUAUGUUUAUUAAUUUUCAUUUUUAUAAUUAAUAUAAAUACAAAUAAUACAUAUUAUUCAAAUUUUUUGAACAUGAAUAUAAAAAAAAGUUACAAUUUAAUUAAUCAUACUCUACCAUUUUGGAUCCUGGUUAUAUCAUCAAAAUAAUGAAAUAUUAUACUAUAUUAUAUAUUUAUUGUUAUAUCUCUAAUUUAUAUUUUCUUGUUUAUAAGUUAUUAAUAUCAUAAAAACAAAUAAUAUUUGUAUACUAAUCAUUUUUGUUUUAAAUUGUAGCAUAUUUUUUUUAGUAAUUUAAAAUUUUUUUAUUAUAAUAAUAUAUGAUGGUAAUUUAUUGAUAAAAAUAUAUUUAUUAUAACAGUGCUAUAUUUUUAGUAUUUUUCAAUUUGAUGAUAAUAGCUAUUAUGAUCAAAUAAAAUGUAAUCUAGUUACUAAUAUUUUAAAUUUUACUUAUAUUUCAGGUGUUUUUCCUUCAUUAAACCGACUUUCAAAUACAGUGAUUUUAAGAUUAAACAUACAAACUAUCAUCAAACUAAUAUCUACAUAAAAAAAUUUUUUCAAUUAAAUACUAAUUUUAGUUAUUAGUUAGGUUAGAUAAUAACUUAUUGUCUUGUCUAAAUAUUAAUAAUACAGACAAUACAAUUAAUCAAAUUUAAUGGUAUUAAGUAUAGAAAAGUAAAAGGAGUAAUAAUAAAAAAUUCUAGUUAACUAAUUAUUGAUUUUACAUGUCUGUUCAUUGUAUUUAUCUAAUGACUAAUGAGUUAAUCUGCAAGAAGUUAUUCAUUGUUAAAUAGGUCUAAGUAAAAGCCAAUAUAGUUAUAUUCUUAUAAUUCAUAUAAUUAAUUUUAUUUUUUUUUUAAAUAUUUAUUGGCGUAUUGUGCAUAGAAAUCAAAAGCAUUUCUUACUUAAAAAGUUACUCAUCAUAUUUUUUUUCAGUGUAUAUAGAUUGAUAUCUGAUAAAUAACUUAACAUAAUAAUUAUUAUAAUAUAUAAAUUAUUAAAAUAUUAUGUCCCAGUAAAAUUGAUUAACACACAUAUUAUACAUUUAUAACUGUUGUAAUUUUCCAACUAUAUAAUAGUAAUAGGUCACAUAAAUUCAAGUUACUAUUACAUUUUUUUAAUACUAGAAUACAUAUUACACAAAAUAUACUUAAUACUCAUAUGGUAUUAGUCUUAGAUAAGUAAAUAGUUUGUAGGUAGUAGGUACCUAUUGGAAAUAGCCACUUAAUAUAAUUAUUAAAACCACAAUUAAGUAAUGAUAAACAUAUUUCAUACCUUAAAACAUUAAUGAGUUCAUAUUUUAAAUUUUGUUUUCCAUAUUUUACCAUUUUUUUAAACUUGAGUUCAUAUUUGGUAUGAUUUAGAUAAAGAGCAUAUUUUGUAUAAACUAUUGCUAUAAAAAUUUUU